RNAcentral lists this ribosomal RNA (503 nucleotides) under uncultured bacterium. RNAcentral describes it as "partial 16S ribosomal RNA". It matches the Rfam family "Bacterial small subunit ribosomal RNA", at positions 30 to 523 of the family's 1533-position model. The record is from RNAcentral.
AUUGAACGCUGGCGGCAGGCUUAACACAUGCAAGUCGAGCGGGGUGAUGGUGCUUGCGCUAUCACUUAGCGGCGGACGGGUGAGUAAUGCUUAGGAAUCUGCCUAUUAGUGGGGGACAACAUCUCGAAAGGGAUGCUAAUACCGCAUACGUCCUACGGGAGAAAGCAGGGGAUCACUUGUGACCUUGCGCUAAUAGAUGAGCCUAAGUCGGAUUAGCUAGUUGGUGGGGUAAAGGCCUACCAAGGCGACGAUCUGUAGCGGGCCUGAGAGGAUGAUCCGCGACACUGGGACUGAGACACGGCCCAGACUCCUAGGGGAGGCAGCAGUGGGGAAUAUUGGACAAUGGGGGGAACCCUGAUCCAGCCAUGCCGCGUGUGUGAAGAAGGCCUUAUGGUUGUAAAGCACUUUAAGCGAGGAGGAGGCUCUUUUGGUUAAUACCCAAGAUGAGUGGACGUUACUCGCAGAAUAAGCACCGGCUAACUCUGUGCCAGCCGCCGCCGUAA